RNAcentral lists this ribosomal RNA (830 nucleotides) under Alternaria alternariae. Its description in RNAcentral is "partial large subunit ribosomal RNA". It matches the Rfam family "Eukaryotic large subunit ribosomal RNA", at positions 107 to 955 of the family's 3401-position model. Lineage: Eukaryota; Fungi; Ascomycota; Dothideomycetes; Pleosporales; Pleosporaceae. The record is from RNAcentral.
GCUCAAAUUUGAAAUCUGGCUCUUUUAGAGUCCGAGUUGUAAUUUGCAGAGGGCGCUUUGGCUUUGGCAGCGGUCCAAGUUCCUUGGAACAGGACGUCACAGAGGGUGAGAAUCCCGUACGUGGUCGCUGGCUAUUGCCGUGUAAAGCCCCUUCGACGAGUCGAGUUGUUUGGGAAUGCAGCUCUAAAUGGGAGGUACAUUUCUUCUAAAGCUAAAUAUUGGCCAGAGACCGAUAGCGCACAAGUAGAGUGAUCGAAAGAUGAAAAGCACUUUGGAAAGAGAGUCAAACAGCACGUGAAAUUGUUGAAAGGGAAGCGCUUGCAGCCAGACUUGCUUGCAGUUGCUCAUCCGGGCUUUUGCCCGGUGCACUCUUCUGUAGGCAGGCCAGCAUCAGUUUGGGCGGUAGGAUAAAGGUCUCUGUCACGUACCUCUCUUCGGGGAGGCCUUAUAGGGGAGACGACAUACUACCAGCCUGGACUGAGGUCCGCGCAUCUGCUAGGAUGCUGGCGUAAUGGCUGUAAGCGGCCCGUCUUGAAACACGGACCAAGGAGUCUAACAUCUAUGCGAGUGUUUGGGUGUCAAGCCCGAGCGCGUAAUGAAAGUGAACGGAGGUGGGAACCCGCAAGGGUGCACCAUCGACCGAUCCUGAUGUCUUCGGAAGGAUUUGAGUAAGAGCAUGGCUGUUGGGACCCGAAAGAUGGUGAACUAUGCUUGAAUAGGGUGAAGCCAGAGGAAACUCUGGUGGAGGCUCGCAGCGGUUCUGACGUGCAAAUCGAUCGUCAAAUUUGGGCAUAGGGGCGAAAGACUAAUCGAACUAUCUAGUAGCUGGU